AUGACCAAGGCAGAAUCUGAUGCUUUCAAGGUUGCCUAUGUUGUAUGUGCAGUUACAUAUGUUCUCGCGCCACCGUUGAAGCACAACUACUUCCUGACAGAAUACUGGGGAGGUCUGCACACCCCUGAUCUCAUACACAUGUACAACUGGGGUAAGUAUGUCCGGGAGGAAGUGCUUCUAUCAGCUGGGAGGGUCAAGUCAGAGCUCCUUGGGGGCAAAGUUAAAUCAAACAUCUCUGGUUGCACUUUCUUCAUUCAGGUGUUCUAUCUGGACAAUCUUGAUCUUGAGGACGAGAACCUACCACACGACGUCUUCCCAAGAUUCAAGGUCUAUGAUCAGAAAAAGAUUAACAUGGUUAUUGAAAAGGACACAAGCGCAGGAAAGAACGCAGAUAUUGUUAUAUACGGACUACUUCUGCCGAGGCUGGCGCACACAGUGUGCUAUAGCAGGAACAGAGCUUCAAUGUCCUUCAUUGGCAAGAUUGCUGAUAUCGGAGACGGGUCAAGCAGAUAUCAAAGAGCACCGAUGAUCGAGGAGAUUGUUACUAUACUUGUGGAAAAAGUGGGCCAAUAUUCAUCUAGAUGCCGAGCAGCGUUGCAAGCGGCGUCUAAGAAAGGGGCCAAGAUAAACAAAAAGCACGCGGAUGGGUGGGAUGGUGUUGUGAGGGAGACUGACAUUUUCAUUGAAGAAGAGACCUCUAAGAUGCUCGCAGAUAUUGAUGAAAUAUCAGAAACUGUAAGGCAGAACAACAAAAGGCCAAGGGAACAAGACUACCAAGGUGAUGAUGUCUCACCUGAAGAGUCCGGAGAAGAGUCGCCAUUUUCACCACGUUCGGCCAUUUGUCCUGUGAAUACAGAUAAACGGAAUGUAGAUGAUGGUAAUCCUAUCCAUAGGUCAAAUGACAGUCAACGGGGUGGUUCCCCGAAAAGAGCAAGGGUCGAAGAGACAGAGGAGGAUCCUGACCCGGCGAUUAAGAAUCUGGAAGGACUGGUCGCGGCAGCAGACCAAGACAAUGAAGUAACAAAUGACACUGUGGUGCAUGAACAAAUGCCAAUCCAGGCCAAAGCAGCAGAUGGUAGGCAAUGGGUAUAUGGCCCUAAUGCAGCGCUUAACACAGAGGUUCCCUCAUAUGACCUCGGAAUAGACAAUGCUGGGCCAGUCCUAUCACCGGGAAGGGAAUUGUCAGUUGUGGCUAAAACUCAACAACCGUUCCACAUUCAGCAUCACACUGCCCAGGCCGGUCCAAGCAGAUUCAAAAUAGAUUUCACAGGUUUUAGGAGCAAAGACCUGAUGGAUGAUUUCAGUAGAGCGGUGACACCAGAAGUUGCAGGUACGAGCUCCGUGCCAUCAGCUAACACAACACCUGUAUCAACAUAUGGGAAAAAUGAACUCCAAGGCUCAGGGCUUGACAUAAUAUGCACUCCUAUGCACAGGGCGAUAGAGCCGAAUAAGGCGGCGAGAACAACACUUGUUAGCCUGAACAGGGAGAUCGCGGCACAAGAGUUGGACGUACGUGAGGAGAUGGAGGAGGCAGCAAUCAACCUGAACGUUCCACAGACACAAGAUGGCCUCAGUACACAGCCACAACGAAAAAGAACAGUUAAGCCAGGCAAGGCUGCACGGUCCCCUUUUGUUCUGGGGUACGAUCCUCCCCUAAGAGCACCAGCUAAUGUUGAAAAGGUCUUCAAGAUGUUUAUGAAGGAGCCCGCAUCUGCAAGGAAAGACAAUUGGGUUAUAAGCACUCAGCCAAAAUACAUCGAGCUCUCUGCCGAGCGAAUCAGGACGAACCUUUCGGAAGGGGGUGUGAUAGAUAAUGAUUUGAUGACAAUAGCAGUUAGAAGAUAUCAGCAGAUUGACUACACUUUUGCAUUGGAUAAAGAUGAAGGGUGCUGGCGACAUUGGCUCGAGCCAGACUUUGUGAACCAUGUGAGCAGAGGAGACGUGAUUGUGAGGUAUGUGCAGGACAUGUUUAUUGGGGAACAUAUCAAGUAUGACGUGCACAGAUGCACUGAGUUCUUACUCAACGUCAAGUUCAACUUCACAUGGUCGACCUACAUUUGGGAUUUUGUAAAGAGGAGGAUAAUCGUUCUUGACCCAACAAUUAACAACGGAGACGAGUCUGACAAAGUCAUCCAGAGUAGGCACAGAAAGGUUGCAGACAAUCUUCAUGAAGCAUUGCAAAGGUGCAUUCAAGCAUUUUUUCAAGGUUGGGCUCCUGACAUGACGAGAUGGAAUACAGUGUUCCCGAAAGGGAUAAACGUUGGUCUAUGCAGCGGGCCAGACAGCGGGGUAUAUGCACGGCACUAUGGACGGAAUUGGAUGGGAAGCAAAUUCAAGAGGGACCUGAACCCGCAACACGACGGGGUGCUCCAUUCCAGGAUGAACAUACUGGUAGAUGUGCUUGGACUGGAGGGGAACAUUGGACACUUGCCUGAGAGAUACAAGAAGUGCCUUGUUAGGAACAAGGAGGAUGCGUGA
RNAcentral lists this ribosomal RNA (2478 nucleotides) under Triticum aestivum (bread wheat). RNAcentral's name for it is "partial small subunit ribosomal RNA". Lineage: Eukaryota; Viridiplantae; Streptophyta; Magnoliopsida; Poales; Poaceae. The record is from RNAcentral.